CAACGCAGCAAGGCGGGAUGCAACAGACAGUAGGCUUGCAGAAAGUUACUACCUACGGAGCAGCACUGGACUUACUUUUCAAGAAGUUAAGGAAGAUAACUGGAGAUGUGGUAAUGAUACCAGAUGAUGGAGACCAUAUUUCCCCUACGCCGACAGACCAUAGUGAUGUCCUGCCCACCGGUGAACGACCUCAUGGACCUCUGGCCUGCUCUCAAAAUAGAGUCUGAGCUGCAUGCAGACUUCCAGCGGAUUACAAAUCAGAACCUGCAAAACACGUGCUAUGCUGAGCUUGACCACCAUCUUCCUCUAAUGAUGACCUUAUUCAGACAGAAGGCACCAAUAACUGGGAAGACAGCAGAUGCUCUGGCUGAAAUUUAAAAAAUCCACGAUGAACAGGGAAUCCAUGACAUCCACACCAAGCGCACUACUGUUCUCCAUGCCCUUCCUGUGUAUCUGCGCGAGGACGUCUCUGGAUUUUUAAGAACCUGCACGGAUGAGUCCGAUGAGCCAGAGCUUGAUGGGUUUGCAGUGGGCUUCAUUACUUUCAUCAGUGACUAUGACGCAAGUCCAGUUCACUACCACCCUGUGAGAAUCACUGUCGUCAUUAAAAGUGAUGCCGUGGUCAGCCUCCCCAGACUUGGCGAUGCCUACCUGGUAAUCUGUGGAGUGAUCUAUGCACUACACCUCAGCUAUCCCAAAGAACUGACCAACACUUUUGAAUUCACUUAAAAGAUUUAACUUUGUCUAGAAAGUGGUAAACUAUCCCUGAGGUUGCAGACCCUCAAGAAUGAAUUAAUUAUGUAGAAACUCAUCUGAAAAAAGGCUGCAGGGUAAAGCAUUAUAAAAGGCUAGUUCAAAGUUAGCUCCUUUUGUCUAAAUAAUGCCUCAGAAAGUUACUGCACUACUGCUGGUGUUCAGCCAAUAGGCCCAAACUACACAAUAUUCCUUUGUUCUCAUUAAUAUAAUGCAAAAGUAACGCUAAUGUUUUGUAUGUUUUAAUGUUUUUCUUAACCAUUUGUGGGCUGCGCAAGAUGACCCACAUUUCACUGUGCAUUUGAUACUGGUUAUGUAAAACAUUUACAUUUUAGAGUUUUAAGUGAAAAUGUUCUUAAACUCUAUAGAAUUUUUGAAAUUUCAUCCAAAUUGCUGCCCUGUUGCCUUACUCAGGAAUUAGCAAGGAAACCAAAAGCAGUGUUUUUUCUUUUUAUAGCUGUAACGAACAAUAAUUUCAUUUUGGUAUUAUUGUUUUUGAUUACUCCGACUAUUUCUAUCUGAUUAGUUGUCUGGUCAAUAUCAGAAAUUUAUGAUAAAUAUUUAUUUCCUAGGGCCUUAAAGAAACAUGCCUACUUAUUGGGACUUAUUCACCGUAUCC
Long non-coding RNA from Perca flavescens (yellow perch), 1372 nucleotides. RefSeq lists it as uncharacterized. Lineage: Eukaryota; Metazoa; Chordata; Actinopteri; Perciformes; Percidae. The record is from RefSeq and is a predicted model, not a curated record. The transcript has 6 exons.